Molecule: ribosomal RNA, 460 nt
Filed under: uncultured bacterium
Lineage: Bacteria
Description: partial 16S ribosomal RNA
Rfam family: Bacterial small subunit ribosomal RNA
Source: RNAcentral
CCUACGGGAGGCUGCAGUGAGGAAUAUUGGUCAAUGGGCGCGAGCCUGAACCAGCCAAGUAGCGUGAAGGAUGACUGCCCUACGUGUUGUAAACUUCUUUUAUAAAGGAAUAAAGUUAGGCACGUGUGCCUUUUUGUAUGUACUUUAUGCAUAAGGAUCGGCUAACUCCGUGCCAGCAGCCGCGGUAAUACGGAGGAUCCGAGCGUUAUCCGGAUUUAUUGGGUUUAAAGGUAGCGUAGAUGGGUUGUUAAGUCAGUUGUGAAAGUUUGCGGCUCAACCGUAAAAUUGCAAUUGAUACUGGCAGUCUUGAGUAUAGUUGAGGUAGGCGGAAUUCGUGGUGUAGCGGUGAAAUGCUUAGAUAUCAUGAAGAACUCCGAUUGCGAAGGCAGCUUACUAAACUGUCACUGACAUUGAUGCUCGAAAGUGUGGGUAGCAAACAGGAUUAGAUACCCGUGUAGUC